CCUACGGGUGGCAGCAGUGAGGACUAUUGGUCAAUGGCCGGAAGGCUGAACCAGCCAUGCCGCGUGAAGGUCAGUGCCCUAUGGGCGUUAAACUUCUUUUGUGCGGGAGCAAUAAUGGUCACGUGUGGCCAGACGAGAGUACCGUACGAAUAAGCAUCGGCUAACUCCGUGCCAGCAGCCGCGGUAAUACGGAGGAUCCGAGCGUUAUCCGGAUUUAUUGGGUUUAAAGGGUGCGUAGGCGGUCAGGUAAGUUAGAGGUGAAAGCUCGAUGCUCAACAUCGAAACUGCCUCUGAUACUGUCUGACUAGAGUGUAGUUGCGGAAGGCGGAAUGUGUGGUGUAGCGGUGUAAUGCUUAGAUAUCACACAGAACACCGAUUGCGAAGGCAGCUUUCCAAGCUAUUACUGACGCUGAGGCACGAAAGCGUGGGGAGCGAACAGGAUUAGAUACCCCUGUAGUC
Molecule: ribosomal RNA, 459 nt
Filed under: uncultured bacterium
Lineage: Bacteria
Description: partial 16S ribosomal RNA
Rfam family: Bacterial small subunit ribosomal RNA
Source: RNAcentral